UUGUAAAAUCAAUCAAUUUUAUUAAACAUUAACAUUCUGAUCUUCAACAAGAAGAACUCGUACAUAUGCAACCAGCGCAUGUCACUUUACAUCCCAAAAACAAUUUUUAAUUAUAAAAACAUAUUUAUUAACAAAUGUAUCAUAAAUUUUCUGUCAUAAAAUAAUCUCGUACUUAUUCUAAUAAAAAUACAAGAAGAAAUAAUGUAUUUAACCUGUAAACGCGCAAAUAAUAAAAUAUAGAGAACAACAAAUGAUAGUUAAAUACUAAAGUAAAAUAAAAAUAAUAGACAGGGCAAUACUGAAUGAUAAAACCCGAAGCUAUGCAAAGUUGGUUAUAUAAACGUUAAAACAAGAUGCAGUUGAGUAGUCAAAAUGAUUUAAAAACAAAUCAGUCUUUUUAUGAGCCUUAAAAUACAUUGGGAUGAUUUCUAAAUUGGGAAAAUUAUCAAAUACAGUAGCGUACCAGCAAAAUUAGCUGUGACUAUGUUCAUUUCUAUACUAAAUAGGCCUCGGAAAUCUAAAUUACAGUGCGUUACGUUUGAAUUAGGUACAUACGUAAAAACUGGCAACAUUGUACAGUAACAGUCAACGUAUAAUGAUUACAAGAUGCAUUUUUGAGGUUAUGUUCGUAAAAUGUAUGCAGUUACAACCAUUUUGACAGCUAUCACGUGGUUUAUGUGCCUGAUUUGCAGUUUUAUCGGGAAUAGACAGAUUCUUGAAAUACAAUAAAUUUAUUAAACGAAAGAUCAGCGGAGUACCUUUGUUAAACCUCCUGUAUUACUAAUUCAACUUGAGGCACUGUAAUUAGUAAUAUUUUCAUAUUGCUAAUAUAAAACGAUAUAAUGGUGGUGUACUGUUGGUUAACCACCUUUUUUAGUUACAACUAAUUUUAUCCAAUAUUGAGCUCUUGGUAGAUUGAAAUUCACAGUUCCCUCUCAGAAUAACAUACAAGCAAGUCAUCUAUGAACCAAUUUCAUUUGAGUUAAUCGAAUACCACUCUGUGAUAGGUAAAGUGUUAUCAAUACAUUAUUCAAAACCAAACCCACGUUAACAACUUCGAUCACUAUGAUUUCAUCACUCAUAAGAAGUAUCUAGGAAUGUAUUUAUACAUAGAACGGAUUUAGGCACAUCAAACAAACAAGCAUUUACAACAUAUACACAGACAAUGUAAGAAACAUGUAAUCGAUCAAUCAAGAAACAUUUUUAUUCGAUGUGGUAGGCCCGGGAAAGGAUUAUACGUAUACGCGCCAUUUAUAAGGUGCGCACGGUCGAGUUGAAGCUAGGGGCGACUCAGUAACUUCUCCUGGGACAUGUGUAGACUAGGAACGAAUAAAAAAACUGCUAAGAAGUUCAAUUUGGAAAAGGUUUGAGUAUCUGUUGAAACAAAACAAAAAAGCUCUAGAGGCGUUAAAGUCUAUCCAAAAGCCUCAAAUAAACGCUUUAAUUCUAAAAGAAGCAGGGUAUCCACAAAAAGAUCUUGCAGGUGAUACCACAUAGAUCUCUUUAGCCUUUUCCCGCAUGUGAGGGUAUGCCGUAGAGAUCAUCAAUUCCCCAGCUUCUUGUGGGGCAAGAAUAGAAUAGGAACAGAACAGAAAACCGUGGUAGAGCUCAACAUUGGCCGAAAAAUGUCCAAAGGGUGUGCAUUUGUGGUGCUUAGACGAAAAGGUUUGAGUAUCUAUUGAAAGAAGCCAAACGAGACUAGGUGCAAGUCUACUUGAAAGGCGCAAACAAAUAUAGAUGGAGAGUAUACCCAAUUCCUGGUAUCAGGCGACACCAGUUAGGUUUCUUUAGCCUUCUCAAGCUUGUGCAGUUAUGCCCGUAGUGACUAUCCCUGUUCCAGCUUCUUAGAUGACAAUAUUUGAGUAUCUGUUGAAAUAUGCCACACGAGACUCGACACUAGGCGUUAAAGUUUAUCUGACAGGCGCAUACAAAUAUAGAUGGAGAUUUAUCACAAUUCCUGGUAUGAGGCGAUACCAGUUAGGUUUCUUUAGCCUUCUCAAGCUUGUGCAAUUAUGCCCGUAGUGACUAUCCCUAUUCUAGCUUCUUCUGAGGCAAGAAUAGACUAGGAACAAACAACAAAAACCUAAUAGAGCUCAAUAUGGACCGAAAAAUGUCCAAAGGAUGUGCAUUUGUGGUGCUUAGUAGAGUAUAUUUGAGUACCUGUUGAAAUAAGCCAAACGAGACUCUACACUAGGCCUUAAAGUCUAUCUGACAGGCGCAAACAAAUAUAGAUGGAGAUUUAUCACAAUUCCUGGUAUCAGGCGACACCAGUUAGGUGUCUUUAGCCUUCUCAAGCUUGUGCAAUUAUGCCCGUAGUGACUAUCCCUAUUCUAGCUUCUUCUGAGGCAAGAAUAGACUAGGAACAAACAACAAAAACCUAAUAGAGCUCAAUAUGGACCGAAAAAUGUCCAAAGGAUGUGCAUUUGUGGUGCUUAGUAGAGAAUAUUUGAGUACUUGUUGAAAUAAGCCAAACGAGACUCUACACUAGGCCUUAAAGUCUAUCUGACAGGCGCAAACAAAUAUAGAUGGAGAUUUAUCACAAUUCCUGGUAUCAGGCGACAGCAGUUAGGUUUCUUUAGCCUUCUCAAGCUUGUGCAAUUAUGCCCGUAGUGACUAUCCCUAUUCUAGCUUCUUCUGAGGCAAGAAUAGACUAGGAACAAACAACAAAAACCUAAUAGAGCUCAAUAUGGACCGAAAAAUGUCCAAAGGAUGUGCAUUUGUGGUGCUUAGUAGAGAAUAUUUGAGUACUUGUUGAAAUAAGCCAAACGAGACUCUACACUAGGCUUUAAAGUCUACCUGACAGGCGCAAAUAGAUAUAGAUGGGGAGUUGCACAAUUCCUGGUAUCAGGUAGCACCACCUAGGUUUUUUAGCCUUCUCAAGCGCAUGUAGGCAUGCUGGUAGUGGAUAUUCAUGUCCUAGUCAUGUCUUGUAUGGUAAAAAUAGACUAGGAACAAACAAAAAAACCACGAUACAGCUCAACAUGGACCGAAAAAUAUCCAAAGACUGAGCAUUUGUGGUCAAUUAGGUUUCUUUAGCCUUCUCAAGCAUGUGCGCGUAUUCCGGUAGUCACUCUCAACACUAGAACAACAUGAACUAAACAAUGUUUAAAAAAAUGAGCAUUUGUGAUGAUUAGAGGAAAAAGUUUGAGCAUGUGUUCAAAUAAGUCAAGUGAGACACGACACUAGGCGUCAAAGUCUAUCCCGAAAGGUACAAGCAAACAAAAAUGUAAGGCAAGGUAUACCCAGAAAAUCUUCAAAGUCACAGUGUAGAAGUGUAAAGGAGACCAAACGAUACCUUUAUCUACAAAAUUUGUAUUGCUGGUACCAACAAUGACUGGAUAUAAGCAAAUUGUACUUAGUUAUAUAAUCAGACAAGCGAGUAAGUAGCCCCUAAAAAUCAGUUACACGUUGUCAAGAGUAGACAAUAGAGAGAAUAGUUCAGUUGUACUUGUAUCAUCAACUAGAAGAAGGUCCUAGUAUCAUGAGUUUUUCAGUGUUGUCAAGUAUUUAAAUAUUUUUUCAAACAAACAGAUGAACUUCUAGAUUUAAAAACUUUUUUCAUACUAAAAUAAAAACUUUUUUGAAUAUCUUCAUUUUAACAUUUGUGCUAUACAUAUUUACAACAAGAUCAUGAAACACUAAGUGAUAUGUUAAAUCAGUUUAUUUCAUUUUUGUAGCACUUGUUUUUUUUUUCGAUGUUUUUAUCUGUUUAUUCAUUUACUUGACCUCACUUUUUUUCUGCCAAAGAUAUUUACUCAUAUUAUAUUUACCCAUACAAAAAUAUUGGACUGUCUUAUCUCGAUGGAGACUAUAAAGGCACACACUGAAAAGGAGAGAACACGAACUCCAAACACAACAUCCUAUCACUACUACAGUAUAAAAUGGUAAGCUACUUAUUAUACGUAACAAUCAAGGGAAGGUCUAAAUCUGAAAAUAUUUUUUUAGCUAAUGUGCCACUGUACAUAAAUUUUUUGCGAAAGUCGAUUUACAAAAAAGAACUAUUAAUCCAGAGGAAGACUUUGUUAAAUUUUUGUAAAUCCCCUGUGAUAUAUUUUUACAUUAUUGAUAUUUACAAUGUGUAUAGUAGGGUUUUAGCUGGAAAAGUCUGCAAAAUAUCCAACGAGUAUAGAACAAUUAGAAAAAACACAACAGUAACUUGUAAGAGGCGAUUUUAGUAGAAUAUUGACUGCGCAUGCGCAAUAUCAUAUGCGCCACGUAGUCAAUGUCGAAUGGCCUUUCGAAAUAUCCAUCACUUAAGACAAAAUGUGGAAGACAACUGGAGACUUUCGAAAUAAACAUUUUUAAAAAAUGAGUUGAAGUAUGCCGCAGAGAAAGAAUUCGCAUAGUCCAGAAAGCAACUGCGCA
Molecule: long non-coding RNA, 4365 nt
Organism: Diabrotica virgifera virgifera (western corn rootworm)
Lineage: Eukaryota; Metazoa; Arthropoda; Insecta; Coleoptera; Chrysomelidae
Exons: 2
Source: RefSeq, a predicted model, not a curated record